GUGUCAGCCGCCGCGGUAAAACGUAGGUGGCAAGCGUUAUCCGGAUUUACUGGGCGUAAAGGGUGUGCAGGCGGCUUGUCAAGUGGUGUAUGAAAGCGCUCGGCUCAACCGGGCAAGGGUAUGCCAGACUGACAGGCUCGAGUCUGAAAGAGGGUGGUGGAAUUCCGGGUGUAGUGGUGAAAUGCGUAGAGAUCCGGAGGAACCCCAGAGGCGAAGGCGGCCACCUGGUUCAGCACUGACGCUCAGACACGACAGCAUGGGGAGCGAACGGGAUUAGAAACCCCAGUAGUCC
This 292-nucleotide ribosomal RNA is filed under the name uncultured bacterium. RNAcentral describes it as "partial 16S ribosomal RNA". It matches the Rfam family "Bacterial small subunit ribosomal RNA", at positions 505 to 796 of the family's 1533-position model. The record is from RNAcentral.